This is an RNA transcript of Melanaphis sacchari, 1215 nucleotides long. It is a transcript of the gene named prothoracicostatic peptides, with no coding region annotated. NCBI's taxonomy places the organism in Eukaryota, Metazoa, Arthropoda, Insecta, Hemiptera, Aphididae. The transcript has 6 exons. The record is from RefSeq and is a predicted model, not a curated record.
UAAAAAAAUAUCGCGGCUGACUAUAGUAUUUAAUAUUAUCUAUAAUAACAUAUUAGAUCCAUUUCCAGCACAUCUCGUCAUCGCAUGCGGCCGUCGUUGGUCUGAUAUCCGCGAUCGAGUCGAUUUUUUUUUCGCAACAAAAACAUAAUAUUUUCACUCUCCGGCACCACACGCGCACGUUAGUGCCACAACUUGGAUCCGUACACCUUUGAGUCGUCAUCGUCGUCGUCGUCCGCACACACGGCGUUGCACGCAACAGGCUUUUGAUCUGCCACUGCCUUAUACGCCAACGGCACGCAAACGGCGUACACGCGUGUACAUUUAACACCGUUCGUCUGACUACCGGAUAACCGCAGAAAAGGAAAUAACUUAAGUGGCGGAAUGCAGAAUGUUUUAAGGAGGAUAGCGGCCACAUUGGUUAUUUUAUGUCCAGUAAUUGUCUUUUCAAUACCGGAAUCUGCUAUUCAAGCAUCAUCAAUCAAAUCAAGUCAAUCUGAACAAGAUAACUCGGACUAUACGAGAUCUUUUGACGAAGAUCAAGAGGAAAAACGGGCAUGGCGAGAUUUGCAGACGGCUGGUUGGGGCAAACGUGGUUGGCAAAACUUAAAAACCACGUGGGGCAAACGGGCACAAGAUUGGCAGAAUUUACAUUCAUCGUGGGGCAAGAGGCAAGGCUGGCAAAAAUUACACGGUGGAUGGGGAAAACGUGGAUGGAAAGAUAUGCAGUCCGGAGGCUGGGGAAAGAGGUUUAAGGAUCAGCCUAGAAGUGAUCAAUUAUCUCAGUUUGACGAAUAUUUAAACAAAUACGAAGACGAAAAUCCUAAUGAAGCAGAAAAACGGUCAUGGGACAAUUUCCAAGGAUCUUGGGGUAAGAGAGCAGCUGAUUGGACAAGCUUUAGAGGUAAGCCGGUUCGUGGGGAAAAAGAAAUCCCGUGGACUAUAUGAACGAGUAUUCAGGAUAUGGAGACAGCGAUAAUUACAAAGCUUAUAUUUUUCCGUCAGGUUACAAUAGUUAUUUACCCAACUUCCAAGCGGAAUACGAAAAAUGAGACAUAAAUUCUCAAUUUUUGAAAGUACUACCACAAAAAAAUAUUAACUAUUAGCCCUAAAUUUACAGACUAUAUACUAUUACAUCAGAUUGUGAAAUAAAAUUAAUAUAUUAUGUACCCAUGCCUCCGUAAUAAUACUAUUACAUUCAAGUAAUCAAUUAAAAAU